Molecule: long non-coding RNA, 708 nt
Organism: Cucumis melo (muskmelon)
Lineage: Eukaryota; Viridiplantae; Streptophyta; Magnoliopsida; Cucurbitales; Cucurbitaceae
Exons: 4
Source: RefSeq, a predicted model, not a curated record
CCUCCUUCCUCUCUAAACAGUUUCUCUCACCGACCUCUCUCCCCCCUCCUCGAUUUUUCUCUUCAUCUCUCCCUCUCUUCUUCUCCUUCACGUCGAUGCCACCACUAAGCCGACAACCCUCCCCCGACGUUGGACGACGACCAGCGUGCCACGCCAACCACCAUCGACGUUUAAAUCUUCCCUACCAUCAAUCGAACUCCAGCUGUUCUGUGUCAUUCCAUCCGAGAUCGUUGAGUCGAGCCAGCUUGGAGUCGCACCGUGCUACUUACUGCCCAUAGAUCGUCGUGCUAGGCCACCCUCUGCCAUCGCUAGCCUCACUGGAUUUGGAAGUUGAGAUUGAAGAGUCGUGCUGAUUAGCUGCUGUCCAGCGGGUUCGAUAAGGAUUUUGUCAAGAUUUAGACUAAAUUGAAGUGGGGAAAGCGUAAAAUUCCGGGGGAUCGAGUAAUUGAUUGUAGUGGCCAAGGACCAAGCAUUGGUUGUGCUUUCUUGUCAUUGAUUGUAGUUUCCCAUUCUUGUUGUAUGUAUCUACUUAUGGGAUCUAUUGCAUUAUUGGGUGAUUAGAAGAAGCGAUAGUCACGAUGAGAAUUUGAGUUUGAGAGGUCUUUUAUUAAAUUGUAAUUCUUUUGUAACUAGUUCGUAGUUGAAUAUAAACUCUGAAUGAGAUUCUGAAAUUGUCUGGAUGAGUGUGUGGUGAGACACACUCGAUGA